GACGAACGCUGGCGGCGUGCCUAAUACAUGCAAGUAGAACGCUGAAGGAGGAGCUUACUUCUCUGGAUGAGUUGCGAACGGGUGAGUAACGCGUAGGUAACCUGCCUGGUAGCGGGGGAUAACUAUUGGAAACGAUAGCUAAUACCGCAUAAGAGUAGAUGUUGCAUGACAUUUACUUAAAAGGUGCAAUUGCACCACUACCAGAUGGACCUGCGGUGUAUUAGCUAGUUGGUGGGGUAACGGCUUACCAAGGCGACGAUACAUAGCCGACCUGAGAGGGUGGUCCGCCACGCUGGGACUGAGAUACGGCCCCGACUCCUACGGGAGGCAGCAGUAGGGAAUCUUCGGCAAUGGACGGAAGUCUGACCGAGCAACGCCGCGUGAGUGAAGAAGGUUUUCGGAUCGUAAAGCUCUGUUGUAAGGGAAGAACGAGUGUGAGAGUGGAAAGUUCACACUGUGACGGUAUCUUACCAGAAAGGGACGGCUAACUACGUGACAGCCGCCGCCGUAA
Molecule: ribosomal RNA, 511 nt
Filed under: uncultured bacterium
Lineage: Bacteria
Description: partial 16S ribosomal RNA
Rfam family: Bacterial small subunit ribosomal RNA
Source: RNAcentral